AGCGUAGGCGGCUUUUUAAGUCGGAUGUGAAAUCCCCGGGCUCAACCUGGGAAUGGCAUUCGAUACUGGGGAGCUAGAGUUUGGGAGAGGGUGAUGGAAUUCCCGGUGUAGCGGUGAAAUGCGUAGAGAUCGGGAGGAACAUCAGUGGCGAAGGCGGUCACCUGGCCUAAAACUGACGCUGAAGCUCGAAAGCGUGGGGAGCAAACAGGAUUAGAUACCCUGGUAGUCCACGCCCUAAACGAUGAGAACUGGACGUUGGGAGGAAUUUGCCUCUUAGUGUCGAAGCUAACGCGUGAAGUUCUCCGCCUGGGGAGUACGCUCGCAAGAGUGAA
This 332-nucleotide ribosomal RNA is filed under the name uncultured Lysobacteraceae bacterium. RNAcentral's name for it is "bacterial SSU rRNA". It matches the Rfam family "Bacterial small subunit ribosomal RNA", at positions 568 to 898 of the family's 1533-position model. Lineage: Bacteria; Pseudomonadati; Pseudomonadota; Gammaproteobacteria; Lysobacterales; Lysobacteraceae. The record is from RNAcentral.